RNAcentral lists this ribosomal RNA (240 nucleotides) under uncultured bacterium. RNAcentral's name for it is "partial 16S ribosomal RNA". It matches the Rfam family "Bacterial small subunit ribosomal RNA", at positions 15 to 235 of the family's 1533-position model. The record is from RNAcentral.
GAUCAUGGCUCAGGAUGAACGCUGGCGGCGUGCUUAACACAUGCAAGUCGAGCGAAGCACUUUGGAAAGAUUCUUCGGAUGAUUUCCUUUGUGACUGAGCGGGCGGACGGGUGAGGUAACGCGUGGGUAACCUGCCUCAUACAGGGGGAUAACAGUUAGAAAUGACUGCUAAUACCGCAUGAGACCACGGUACCGCAUGGUACAGUGGUAAAAACUCCGGUGGUAUGAGAUGGACCCGCG